GUAGUGUAGUAGUACCUAUAUAGAUCGUCUUUCCUGUUGCUGUGACCAUUCGUCCCAACGUGGCAAUGACUGGAGCUGCUGCUGCUCUACACCAUUCAUCA
This 101-nucleotide non-coding RNA is filed under the name Fragilariopsis kerguelensis. Lineage: Eukaryota; Bacillariophyta; Bacillariophyceae; Bacillariales; Bacillariaceae. The record is from RNAcentral.